UCCUGUACUUGGUGUUACUGCGAAGGGGGGACGGAGAAGGCUAGGCUAGCCGGGCGACGGUUGUCCCGGUUUAAGCGUGUAGGGGGUGUGACCUGGUAAAUCCGGUUGCAUAUCAACCCUGAGGCGUGAUGACGAUGCGCUACGGUGCAGAAGUAGUUGAUGCCCUGCUUCCAGGAAAAGCCUCUAAGCUCCAGGUAACAUUAAAUCGUACCCCAAACCGACACAGGUGGUCAGGUAGAGAAUACCAAGGCGCUUGAGAGAACUCGGGUGAAGGAAC
RNAcentral lists this ribosomal RNA (277 nucleotides) under Serratia marcescens. RNAcentral describes it as "partial 23S ribosomal RNA". It matches the Rfam family "Bacterial large subunit ribosomal RNA", at positions 1437 to 1713 of the family's 2925-position model. The record is from RNAcentral. Lineage: Bacteria; Pseudomonadati; Pseudomonadota; Gammaproteobacteria; Enterobacterales; Yersiniaceae.